GGCGCACCCCUCCUCGCCGUCGACGACGACGCGGCGACGGCUUGCACGCGAGGUUGGCGACCCUCGCUGUGCCGACGACUUCUGGUUUUGUGCCAGAUGCAGUGGCCCCUCGCGGCCUGGCCGGAGCUCGCCGAGGUGCCGCAGCAUCUGAACUGGAUCGGAGCCGGGGCCAGAGGGGGGUGAGGAGGUGGAUGACGAGGGCUGUUCGUCCGGACGGUGCUAUGAGGAUUCGGGCUCUGCCGAAAUUUGUUUCGGGUUUGGCAUCGGGGCCUGGCCUUGAAGUCUAUUGGAGCUGAGAUCAAGAGAAUCCAAACGACUGUAUGGGAGUAGAUAUGAAGUGAGUUGCAUAUGUGUGAACAUGUUGUUUGAAAGAUCUAAUUCUCUAAGGCUAUCAUUCCAUGUCUCC
This is a long non-coding RNA of Aegilops tauschii subsp. strangulata, 406 nucleotides long. RefSeq lists it as uncharacterized. The record is from RefSeq and is a predicted model, not a curated record. Lineage: Eukaryota; Viridiplantae; Streptophyta; Magnoliopsida; Poales; Poaceae.